GUAGGUGGCAAGCGUUGUCCGGGAAUUAUUGGGCGUAAAGCGCGCGCAGGCGGUUCUUUAAGUCUGAUGUGAAAGCCCACGGGCUCAACCGUGGAGGGUCAUUGGAAACUGGAGAACUUGAGUACAGAAGAGGAAAGCGGAAUUCCACGUGUAGCGGUGAAAUGCGUAGAGAUGUGGAGGAACACCAGUGGCGAAGGCGGCUUUCUGGUCUGUAACUGACGCUGAGGCGCGAAAGCGUGGGGAGCAAACAGGAUUAGAUACCCUGGUAGUCCACGCCGUAAACGAUGAGUGCUAAGUGUUAGGGGGUUUCCGCCCCUUAGUGCUGCAGCCAACGCAUUAAGCACUCCGCCUGGGGAGUACGGCCGCAAAGGCUG
This 374-nucleotide ribosomal RNA is filed under the name uncultured organism. Its description in RNAcentral is "partial 16S ribosomal RNA". It matches the Rfam family "Bacterial small subunit ribosomal RNA", at positions 527 to 896 of the family's 1533-position model. The record is from RNAcentral.